This 557-nucleotide long non-coding RNA is filed under the name Ictidomys tridecemlineatus (thirteen-lined ground squirrel). RNAcentral's name for it is "lncRNA (ENSSTOG00000031914.1)". The record is from RNAcentral. Lineage: Eukaryota; Metazoa; Chordata; Mammalia; Rodentia; Sciuridae.
GAUGCUGCCCAAAAAGAGAAGAAAAGAAUGAAAAUACUUUCUUAUCCAGCUGUACAAGUGCUCCUAACUCAGUAUCAUACCUCCCUUACUAGAAUUGUUGCUAUCCCAGAGAAAUGUUAUAUGGCUUCUUGUCCCAUUGACUAGCCACAUUCUCCUUUCUAUUUACUUUUCUAGGUGCCUGCUUCUCUUCUCUACUCUUCAACUCUGUUUUCCCUAAAACAGAACCUGUUUUAGAAGGAGUUACUAUUGAGUGUCUCUUCCUCUGUCAUCCAAAUAUCCUGGAUUUACUGGGAAAUGUUGAGAUUCUGCACAGCACAGAAACCUGGGCUCCAGAUCCAGGACAGAAAGCCUACAAAAAGAUUGAAAAGAAAAUGUGUACACUACUUUUAAUGUGAGUGAUGAGUGCAUAAUCACUUAUACCCUAGUCCUCUGGGGAGGUAGAAACCAGGGCUCUAGAUCAUUCUGCACAGAAGGCAGGUAGAAGGCUUUCUUGAUGGUGACAAAUGCCCAAAUUGAAGAAUAUGGUUCACACUAUGCUCCCUUGGGGAUAACCAUAG